CCUACGGGUGGCUGCAGUGGGGAAUAUUGCACAAUGGGCGAAAGCCUGAUGCAGCAACGCCGCGUGAAGGAAGAAGGGUUUCGGCUCGUAAACUUCUAUCAACAGGGACGAAAGAAAUGACGGUACCUGACUAAGAAGCCCCGGCUAACUACGUGCCAGCAGCCGCGGUAAUACGGAGGAUGCGAGCGUUAUCCGGAUUUAUGGGGUUUAAAGGGUGCGUAGGCGGGCUUUUAAGUCAGCGGGAAAAAUUCGGGUCUCAACCCCGUCCGGCAGUUGAAACUGGUGGCCUUGGGUGGGCGAGAAGAAGGCGGAAUGCGUGGUGUAGCGGUGAAAUGCAUAGAUAUCACGCAGAACCCCGAUUGCGAAGGCAGCCUUCCGGCGCCCUACUGACGCUGAGGCACGAAAGUGCGGGGAUCGAACAGGAUUAGAUACCCCAGUAGUC
RNAcentral lists this ribosomal RNA (442 nucleotides) under uncultured bacterium. RNAcentral's name for it is "partial 16S ribosomal RNA". It matches the Rfam family "Bacterial small subunit ribosomal RNA", at positions 338 to 795 of the family's 1533-position model. The record is from RNAcentral.